GACUUAGCAUAUCAAUAAGCGGAGGAAAAGAAACAACAGGGAUUGCCUUAGUAACGGCGAGUGAAGCGGCAACAGCUCAAAUUUGAAAUCUGGCCUCGGCCCGAGUUGUAAUUUGCAGAGGAUGCUUCCGGCGACGCGCCUUCCGAGUCCCCUGGAACGGGGCGCCUGAGAGGGUGAGAGCCCCGUACGGUUGGACGCCGAGCCUGUGUGAAGCUCCUUCGACGAGUCGAGUAGUUUGGGAAUGCUGCUCUAAACGGGAGGUAAAUUCCUUCUAAAGCUAAAUACCGGCCAGAGACCGAUAGCGCACAAGUAGAGUGAUCGAAAGAUGAAAAGCACUUUGGAAAGAGGGUUAAACAGUACGUGAAAUUGCUGAAAGGGAAGCGCUCGCGACCAGACUCGCGCCGGGCGGAUCAUCCAGCGUUCUCGCUGGUGCACUUCGCCCGGCCCGGGCCAGCAUCGGUUCUGGUGGGGGGACAAAAGCCCGGGAAACGUAGCUCCCUCCGGGGAGUGUUAUAGUCCCUCGCCUAAUAUCCCCGCCGGGACCGAGGACCGCGCCUUGUGCAAGGAUGCUGGCGUAAUGGUCGCCAGCGACCCGUCUUGAAACACGGACCAAGGAGUCGAACAUUCGUGCGAGUGUUUGGGUGGAAACCCCUCACGCGUAAUGAAAGUGAACGGAGGUGGGAGCCUCGGCGCACCAUCGACCGAUCCUGAAGCUUGUCGGAUGGAUUUGAGUGGGAGCAUGACUGUUCGGACCCGAAAGAUGGUGAACUAUGCCUGCGUAGGGUGAAGCCAGAGGAAACUCUGGUGGAGGCUCGCAGCGGUUCUGACGUGCAAAUCGAUCGUCAAACGUGGGCAUGGGGGCGAAAGACUAAUCGAACCAUCUAGUA
RNAcentral lists this ribosomal RNA (887 nucleotides) under Paralulworthia lignicola. RNAcentral's name for it is "partial 28S ribosomal RNA". It matches the Rfam family "Eukaryotic large subunit ribosomal RNA", at positions 31 to 949 of the family's 3401-position model. The record is from RNAcentral. Lineage: Eukaryota; Fungi; Ascomycota; Sordariomycetes; Lulworthiales; Lulworthiaceae.